RNAcentral lists this ribosomal RNA (870 nucleotides) under uncultured bacterium. Its description in RNAcentral is "bacterial SSU rRNA". It matches the Rfam family "Bacterial small subunit ribosomal RNA", at positions 9 to 873 of the family's 1533-position model. The record is from RNAcentral.
AGAGUUUGAUCAUGGCUCAGAUUGAACGCUGGCGGAAUGCUUUACACAUGCAAGUCGAACGGCAGCACGGGGGCAACCCUGGUGGCGAGUGGCGAACGGGUGAGUAAUACAUCGGAACGUGCCCAGUCGUGGGGGAUAACGUAGCGAAAGCUACGCUAAUACCGCAUACGAACUCUGGUUGAAAGCGGGGGAUCGCAAGACCUCGCGCGAUUGGAGCGGCCGAUGGCAGAUUAGGUAGUUGGUGGGGUAAAGGCUCACCAAGCCGACGAUCUGUAGCUGGUCUGAGAGGACGACCAGCCACACUGGGACUGAGACACGGCCCAGACUCCUACGGGAGGCAGCAGUGGGGAAUUUUGGACAAUGGGCGCAAGCCUGAUCCAGCCAUUCCGCGUGCAGGAUGAAGGCCCUCGGGUUGUAAACUGCUUUUGUACGGAACGAAAAGGCUCUGGUUAAUACCUGGGGCUCAUGACGGUACCGUAAGAAUAAGCACCGGCUAACUACGUGCCAGCAGCCGCGGUAAUACGUAGGGCGCAAGCGUUAAUCGGAAUUACUGGGCGUAAAGCGUGCGCAGGCGGUGAUGUAAGACAGGUGUGAAAUCCCCGGGCUUAACCUGGGAACUGCAUUUGUGACUGCAUCGCUGGAGUGCGGCAGAGGGGGAUGGAAUUCCGCGUGUAGCAGUGAAAUGCGUAGAUAUGCGGAGGAACACCGAUGGCGAAGGCAAUCCCCUGGGCCUGCACUGACGCUCAUGCACGAAAGCGUGGGGAGCAAACAGGAUUAGAUACCCUGGUAGUCCACGCCCUAAACGAUGUCAACUGGUUGUUGGGUCUUCACUGACUCAGUAACGAAGCUAACGCGUGAAGUUGACCGCCU